RNAcentral lists this ribosomal RNA (451 nucleotides) under uncultured bacterium. RNAcentral describes it as "bacterial SSU rRNA". It matches the Rfam family "Bacterial small subunit ribosomal RNA", at positions 28 to 479 of the family's 1533-position model. The record is from RNAcentral.
GAUGAACGCUAGCGGCAGGCCUAACACAUGCAAGUCGAGGGGUAGAGUUCUUCGGGACUUGAGACCGGCGCACGGGUGCGUAACGCGUAUGCAAUCUACCUUAUACAGGGGAAUAGCCCAGAGAAAUUUGGAUUAAUGCCCCAUAGUGUUAUCGAAUCGCAUGGUUUGAUAACUAAAGUUCCAACGGUAUAAGAUGAGCAUGCGUCCCAUUAGUUAGUUGGUAAGGUAACGGCUUACCAAGACAAUGAUGGGUAGGGGUCCUGAGAGGGAGAUCCCCCCACACUGGUACUGAGACACGGACCAGACUCCUACGGGAGGCAGCAGUGAGGAAUAUUGGUCAAUGGGCGCAAGCCUGAACCAGCCAUGCCGCGUGCAGGAAGACGGUCCUAUGGAUUGUAAACUGCUUUUAUACAGGAAGAAACCCUCCCACGUGUGGGAGCUUGACGGUACU